RNAcentral lists this long non-coding RNA (2597 nucleotides) under Nicotiana tabacum (common tobacco). RNAcentral describes it as "long non-coding RNA (NTAB_LNC011054)". The record is from RNAcentral. Lineage: Eukaryota; Viridiplantae; Streptophyta; Magnoliopsida; Solanales; Solanaceae.
UCUUAAGAUUAUUAAAAGAUAUCAAACAUAAAUGAUAAGCUUACAUCUUUGAUAUAUUGUUCCGUAAUGUAAGAACAAAGAAGGAACGGAAGGAAUGCCAUUGAUAAAUAUGAAAUCUAUCUUUAUUGAUUCAGCAAUGACGAUUACAAAGAUUUACAACCAAAAUCUAGGCUUUUUGCUUUGUUGUUGGAGGUCUCCUCCUGUUCUUCCAUUCCUCUCUCCUCAGGGAGUCAGUCCCCUUUUCUUGCCUUCUUACCUCCUAUAUAUAUUACAAAUAUUCUCCUUUGUCCAAUGGCCUUUAGCCAGAAUACCCUCUCUCUUGAUUAUACUUUUCAUUGCUCCCCUCGAGUACUACGACGUAUGUUUUGCCGUACAAGUUUUCUGAUGGCUCGAUCUCGGCAGUGACCGAGAUACUCAUCGUUAUUACGCCUUGUGGGCACGACCACGGCUCAGUCGACCCUUUACCAUUUCUUUUAGUGCUAAUCUACGUGUGGUCAGAUUUUGACCUAUACAACCACCACGAUUAUAAAAGCUAAGUGGUCUUAGCUCAAGGAGCCCUCAUCUCCCUAAGCUCCCUCCUUAAUAGCUUGACCACAACAAACAAACUGAUCCGAUUACCACCACGGUUAUCAAAGCUGAGUGGUUCCAGUUCAAAAGAGCCAUUCCUCUCCCUGAGCUCCCUCCUCAAUAGCUCAACCAGAAAAAACAAACUGAUCUGAAUACCACCACGGUUAUCAAAGCUAGCUGAUCCCAGCUCAAGGAGCCACUCCUCUCCCUGAGCUCCCUCCUUAAUAGCUCGACCAGAACAAACAAUCUCAAUUUUCACAUUAAUACCAUUACCUCAAAUGCAAUAUUCGAUAUCACUGCACUAGUACAUGUCCGAUUCAGAAAGAGAAUGAAUUAUUAGCAAGUUUCUUUUCCUAUGUUGAAGUUGAAAUGUGUGGCUCAAGCUACUAUAUUCUCCAAAUUCGAUCAUUCACUAAACUUGGUGGUCCAGACCUGAAAGAGAUAGUAUAUAGAUAUAGUUAAUUAAGACUUGAAAGAUAUUUACCAUAAGACACUUUCUUAAGAUAAUAUCAUUACCCAGAUGAUGAUUAAUGACUUGGGUUAAUUUCACUGAAGGUCACUCAACUAUCUCUCAAUUUCACUGAAGUCACUCAAUUAUUUUGUCACUUAAAAGUAAUUAAAUUUUAUUAUUGUAACUUAAAAGUCCUUUUAGCUCAAACUCCUACCAUAAAUAUAACAUGACGUAAAAUUUAAUGAGAAAAAUCCAAAAAUAAAUGUCACACAAUCUUAAAUGGAUCAUACCCAUUUUAGAUCCAUUUCUCCCUUAAUGUUAUUUGACCCAUAACCCAAAUGAGUUUCAAUUAAAAAAUGCACACCCCUAAUAAAAUAGUUCUAACCAGUGUCGACCACACCACUCUUUAGCACUUUAGGGCAUCUCCAACCCCUGCACCAUUUUUUUAUACCAAAAUGGUGCAAAUAAACUCCAACCUAUUAUACUUUUUUUUUACACAAAAAAAGAAUAUUCCUUUUAUAUUCUUCUAUAUUAUAUUUUUUUUUGUUUAAAUUUAUUUUUAUUUCAAUCCUUUUUUCUCUUUUUUACAUAUUCACCCAUAUAAUUGAUAUUCAUUUCUUAUAUAAGCAUUUAAUAUAAAACUAUUUUAUACCAUUUAAUAUAUUUUCAAUUUUAAUCUAUAUCAGUCGCUACUGUAUUAAAUAUUCAUUUUUAUGUUAUUUAAUAGACAUUGUUUUAUUUAUUAACAACAUAUUAUAUUUUAUAUUUGCACUUUUUAUUUUUGUGAUGGUUAUAUUUUUUUAUAAAAUUAUAACUUAUAAUAAAAUUAACUUAUAAUUUUAUAUAAAAACAAUAUAUACGAAAAUUAAUUCUAAAAAUUACACACCAAAUUUAAGAUGUAAAAUUAAUAUUAUAAAUAUAUUACAUAAAAAGUAUAAGUAAUUACAAAAUUUAUAAUAAGUUAAAUUAAAAUAAUAAUAAUAAAAUAUUAAUGAAUAGUAAUGAUGCCGAGGUACUUGAAUGAACCGUGAAUAAAAGAAAGAGAAGUAAAAAUAUGAGGGAGGGGGAGGUCAUAGCAUAGCUCCUCUGAAGGCGCACGUAAAGCAGGGAUAGCUAAUGUACGCACAAGGACAAUGACCCGACAAAAAUCACAGGUAAUUGCACCGCCUACAAUACCAGAGACAAAUGAAGGAGUUAGAAUAGUUACGUCAGAAUCUUGGGGUACCACAAGCUGAUGAAAUUGGUCCAUUGGAUGAUUGGAAUAGGGAGUGCACCAUGUGUGGAUGCUUGUUGAGAUGGAUAUAUCCCAGGAGCUACCUAAUAAAAUGUUCAUUGAAGAGACAGAUGGAACUUAUAGAGAACAAUGGUUGGGUUAUGAAUGGAAACCGCACUUUUGUGAGGGCUAUUUCCAAAUAGGGCAGCAUACAGAGAAUUGUGCAAAGGCACCACAUGUGAUACAAAAACAACAACCCCAUGAAGAUAGAGGUAACUUGGUGAAAAAGGACACACAGCAGAGGCAGGGGAAAGCAAUGAGACAACAACACAGAAAAUAACCUGCUGCCCAGUGGAGAGUCCAAAU